This 497-nucleotide ribosomal RNA is filed under the name uncultured bacterium. RNAcentral describes it as "partial 16S ribosomal RNA". It matches the Rfam family "Bacterial small subunit ribosomal RNA", at positions 28 to 507 of the family's 1533-position model. The record is from RNAcentral.
GAUGAACGCUGUCGGCGUGCCUAAUACAUGCAAGUCGAGCGAACAGACGAGGAGCUUGCUCCUCUGACGUUAGCGGCGGACGUGUGAGUAACACGUGGAUAACCUACCUAUAAGACUGGGAUCACUUCGGGAAACCGGAGCUAAUACCGGAUAAUAUAUUGAACCGCAUGGUUCAAUAGUGAAAGACGGUUUUGCUGUCACUUAUAGAUGGAUCCGCGCCGCAUUAGCUAGUUGGUAAGGUAACGGCUUACCAAGGCAACGAUGCGUAGCCGACCUGAGAGGGUGAUCAGCCACACUAGAACUGAGACACGGUCCAGACUACUACGGGAGGCAGCAGUAGGGAAUCUUCCGACAUGGGCGAAAGCCUGACGGAGCAACGCAGCGUGAGCGAUGAAGGUCUUCGGCUCGUAAAACUCUGUUAUUAGGGAAGAACAAAUGUGUAAGUAACUGUGCACGUCUUGACGGUACCUAAUCAGAAAGCCACGGCUAACUACGUG